This is a small nuclear RNA of Mesocricetus auratus (golden hamster), 104 nucleotides long. The record is from Ensembl. NCBI's taxonomy places the organism in Eukaryota, Metazoa, Chordata, Mammalia, Rodentia, Cricetidae.
GUGUUUGCUUUGGCAGCACACACACUAAAAUUGGAACAAUACAGAGAUUAGCAUAGCCCCUAUGCAAGAAUGACACACAAAUUCAUAAAGUGUUCCAUCUUUUU